Molecule: ribosomal RNA, 1371 nt
Filed under: uncultured bacterium
Lineage: Bacteria
Description: bacterial SSU rRNA
Rfam family: Bacterial small subunit ribosomal RNA
Source: RNAcentral
GAUGAACGCUGGCGGCGUGCCUAAUACAUGCAAGUCGAGCGAACGGACGAGAAGCUUGCUUCUCUGAUGUUAGCGGCGGACGGGUGAGUAACACGUGGAUAACCUACCUAUAAGACUGGGAUAACUUCGGGAAACCGUAGCUAAUACCGGAUAAUAUUUUGAACCGCAUGGUUCAAAAGUGAAAGACGGUCUUGCUGUCACUUAUAGAUGGAUCCGCGCUGCAUUAGCUAGUUGGUAAGGUAACGGCUUACCAAGGCAACGAUGCAUAGCCGACCUGAGAGGGUGAUCGGCCACACUGGAACUGAGACACGGUCCAGACUCCUACGGGAGGCAGCAGUAGGGAAUCUUCCGCAAUGGGCGAAAGCCUGACGGAGCAACGCCGCGUGAGUGAUGAAGGUCUUCGGAUCGUAAAACUCUGUUAUUAGGGAAGAACAUAUGUGUAAGUAACUGUGCACAUCUUGACGGUACCUAAUCAGAAAGCCACGGCUAACUACGUGCCAGCAGCCGCGGUAAUACGUAGGUGGCAAGCGUUAUCCGGAAUUAUUGGGCGUAAAGCGCGCGUAGCGGUUUUUUAAGUCUGAUGUGAAAGCCCACGGCUCAACCGUGGAGGGUCAUUGGAAACUGGGAAACUUGAGUGCAGAAGAGGAAAGUGGAAUUCCAUGUGUAGCGGUGAAAUGCGCAGAGAUAUGGAGGAACACCAGUGGCGAAGGCGACUUUCUGGUCUGUAACUGACGCUGAUGUGCGAAAGCGUGGGGAUCAAACAGGAUUAGAUACCCUGGUAGUCCACGCCGUAAACGAUGAGUGCUAAGUGUUAGGGGGUUUCCGCCCCUUAGUGCUGCAGCUAACGCAUUAAGCACUCCGCCUGGGGAGUACGACCGCAAGGUUGAAACUCAAAGGAAUUGACGGGGACCCGCACAAGCGGUGGAGCAUGUGGUUUAAUUCGAAGCAACGCGAAGAACCUUACCAAAUCUUGACAUCCUUUGACAACUCUAGAGAUAGAGCCUUCCCCUUCGGGGGACAAAGUGACAGGUGGUGCAUGGUUGUCGUCAGCUCGUGUCGUGAGAUGUUGGGUUAAGUCCCGCAACGAGCGCAACCCUUAAGCUUAGUUGCCAUCAUUAAGUUGGGCACUCUAAGUUGACUGCCGGUGACAAACCGGAGGAAGGUGGGGAUGACGUCAAAUCAUCAUGCCCCUUAUGAUUUGGGCUACACACGUGCUACAAUGGACAAUACAAAGGGCAGCGAAACCGCGAGGUCAAGCAAAUCCCAUAAAGUUGUUCUCAGUUCGGAAUGUAGUCUGCAACUCGACUACAUGAAGCUGGAAUCGCUAGNUAUCGUAGAUCAGCAUGCUACGGUGAAUACGUUCCCGGGUCU